UACGUAGGGUGCAAGCGUUAUCCGGAAUUAUUGGGCGUAAAGAGCUCGUAGGCGGUUUGUCACGUCUGCUGUGAAAACUGGAGCUCAACCUCCAGCCUGCAGUGGGUACGGGCAGACUAGAGUGCGGUAGGGGAGAUUGGAUUCCUGGUGGAGCGGUGGAAUGCGCAGAUAUCAGGAGGAACACCGAUGGCGGAAGGCAGAUCUCCUGGGCCGUAACCUGACGCUGAGGAGCGAAAGCAUGGGGAGCGAACAGG
This 254-nucleotide ribosomal RNA is filed under the name uncultured bacterium. RNAcentral describes it as "partial 16S ribosomal RNA". It matches the Rfam family "Bacterial small subunit ribosomal RNA", at positions 524 to 776 of the family's 1533-position model. The record is from RNAcentral.